Molecule: long non-coding RNA, 777 nt
Organism: Mus caroli (Ryukyu mouse)
Lineage: Eukaryota; Metazoa; Chordata; Mammalia; Rodentia; Muridae
Source: RefSeq, a predicted model, not a curated record
GCAUGGGCACCUAGAGGCCAGCAUUGCCGAGGGCUCUUUGCAGGCUGAUACCCAGGAGAAAAGAAGAAGGGCUUAAGGGACCAGGACAUAUGGAAGUAACCAAGCGUGAAAGACCAGGAAAGAGGCUUAUCAGCGAUCCAGAUGCCCUGGUGACACAACACCCUGGUGUGUGACAGGCCGGCAGGAAGAUGCGUGGAAGAGCUCAUGCAUGUGUUCUCCGGGCCUUUCCUGCUACUCGGUGAGGUGGAAACACAGUCAUAGGUCGUGACUCAGGACCAUUACGGGAGUGAUGGAGUUUUACAAGUAUUUAAAGUGUCUCAACGGGACCUCACAUGGCAGAAGUUACUUCAGAAUCCCCCAGUGACCUCACGUGGUCUCUCCUGCCUUGUUUAUUGGCCAGCUCCUGCUUAGCAUCAGCAAUGUCUCCCAGAAUCAGUGGCUUUACAGAUGGGUCAAGUUGACAAACAGCUGAUCAGCACAGCAUCCUCAUUGGACUCUCCUCAGACCUAUGAGACUGUUGCUUGCUUCUUGGAUUCUCUGCACCUCCACCAUAAUUUGGAAAAUGCCUUCAGAAAAGUUCCAAGAAAUUCGAAGUAAGCAUGCAGAGAGAAGCAAGGAAAGAUCGUGUGGUACUGGGCUGGAGAGGUGGCUCACUAAAUGCUAUUUGCUCUUGCAGAGGACCUGAGUCCACUUCCAGAACCCACGUGGUACACCUCAACCAUCCAUAAUUAUACUUUUAGGGCUCUAGCAUCUUUGUCAGGAACAAAACUACACAUG